CUGUCACAGAGACACGGAACUGGCGUAUUAUUAUAUAGACUAGUCGAUUAGGCCCGUGGAAAAAUCCACUUAGGCAGAAAAACAAUUGAAAAGUUCUGUCAUUUGAAUUUUGAUGACAUCAGCAAAUAUUUCAGUAUAUUGAAUAUGCCUUUUACUAAAAAAAAUAAUCUGAAAAUGCAUAAAAAGAAAGUAUAUAAGUCAUAAUUUAACAAAAAAGUUCUUAAAAUCUAACACAAAAUAUCAAAUGUCAAAUCGCAUGAAAUCCUCCCAACAAAACUUCAGACAAAAUAUGAAAAACAACAGCGUGCAAGGUGUAAAAUCUAGUUAGUAGAAAGUUACAAAAUUGACAGUCACAACCCAGACAGUUACGACAACAAUAAUAAUAAUGUCAGAAAUAACACAUAUCUCAAAUAUGUAUACAUCUUAUUAUGUGAUUAUGUUGAAAACCUUCAAUAUUUUAAUCUGAAGUGUCGAAAAGAAAGGCUUGCAACAGUAAGCACAGAUCUACGAAAUAAGUUCUUUACGCAUUUUAAACAUUGUCUUUUCCCUAAAUGCUUAUACAACAAUACAACCUGAACAAUAUCAAAAAGCCAAACUUAAACAAACACAAAACACCUAAAAACAAAAAGUUAAACUUUGAAAAAUCAUUUAUUCGGUUGCAUACCAUCCUCUCCCGCAAAAAUAUGCACAAAAUGUAAAAAUUAACCGGUUAACAAAACAAUUUUUUGUCUAAUGAUCCGUACUGACUUUACCAAACAUUUUAACCUGAAAUGUCGAAAAAGCAAUGAGCAAGGAGUAAAUUUCAAAUCAACAAAAAUCAUUAUUUUGAAAACAUUGUAUAUAUAUAUAUGGUCCUUCCUCACAAAAGUUUACAAUAAAUGUAGAACACAAAGUUAAACUUUGAAAAAUCAUUUAUUCGGUUGCAUACCAUCCUCUCCCGCAAAAAUAUGCACAAAAUGUAAAAAUUAACCGGUUAACAAAACAAUUUUUUGUCUAAUGAUCCGUACUGACUUUACCAAACAUUUUAACCUGAAAUGUCGAAAAAGCAAUAUGCAAGGAGUAAAUUUCAAAUCAACAAAAAUCAUUAUUUUGAAAACAUUGUAUAUAUAUAUGGUCCUUC
Hydractinia symbiolongicarpus is the source of this 1120-nucleotide long non-coding RNA. RefSeq lists it as uncharacterized. Lineage: Eukaryota; Metazoa; Cnidaria; Hydrozoa; Anthoathecata; Hydractiniidae. The transcript is spliced from 2 exons. The record is from RefSeq and is a predicted model, not a curated record.